Molecule: long non-coding RNA, 9512 nt
Filed under: Equus caballus (horse)
Lineage: Eukaryota; Metazoa; Chordata; Mammalia; Perissodactyla; Equidae
Source: RNAcentral
CUACUUUCACAUUUCAGAUUGUUUCCUAGAUUCUAAUUUAUCUUCUAAUCAUUAAAACAGGAAUAUAGUUAAUAUUCAUCUGACUUUCAAAAAUUAAAUUUACUGGUUUAACCUUCAUUCCUUUUGUAUUAUUACUGUUAUCUUUGCCAGCACCCAAUGCUCAUUUAUUGGAGUGUGAAAAACAAAAUUGAUGAAAAUUAGUUUUUCUCUCCAUAUCCAGACCUACCCUCGCCAGUUCCAUCAGCUAAAAACACUUUGACUAGGUCUUGUUUGUGUUUGUUUCAACCCUUUCAAACUGCUGGUUCCUGCCCAAUACCUCCCAAGCUGGCUCUCAGGUGCUUGUUUGCCAAAAUAAGCUGACAGCAUCCCUGAAAAUGGAUGGUGUGUUAAGAACUGCCGAGGGGCUCAGCUGGAUCUGGGGCCAGACUGUGAGAGUCAGGAUGAGGGACUGCCAUCCGGACAGGCAGCCCUGCCCUGGACACGGGGGCCUGUCUGCUUGGAUGAGAUGAGAACGGAGGUCUGAGACAGGGCACAAGUGUGGGAGGCAGUAAGGGGAUUAGAAGGAGCAGAGGUAGGGAGCACAAGGAGGAUGUGUGAGCAGUGGGGACAGGGUCCCUGACACAGAGGACAUGAGUGGAAAUGCAGAAAACAAGAAGCAACCAGCCAGAAAAACGGCUGAUAGGAUGCUGGAAAAUAGAAAUGCUUUUAAAAGCCAAUUUCCCAAAAGUGAAUGUGAGGGAAAUUGAGACGUGGGAUGCCCGAAACCAUCUACCUGCAGAGCCGGGAAGGGUUGGCGGACACCCGUGGGGUAGUCACCAUCGUCUGAGAGAGGCAGUGAGUUCUGGGAAGCGUGGGAAGUGAAGAGGUAAGAGAUGAGCAGAAUGGUCUUCGGGGGUGGGGGUGGGGGGUGACAGCCUGGAGAGGGCCGGCCAUUCCUUUACCAGAUCGGCUUGUUAAGCUGACCCAUAAGAGCACCAGCAGCCUGACUUCCAAGACAGCCACCCUGCACGUUGUCUUGAGCCGCCUUUGUGACGGAGCCAUCCCUGCCCCUGGCCCUCCAGGUGCUCACCUUCCUCCGGGAAGGAGGUGGCUGCAUCGUGUGUAAGAGCCAGGGUACCUCGGGGCUGCAGGAGGGCGAAGGCCUUGGAGGUUGGGAAAUGCUGUUCAGGCUGAGACUUGGAAAGGAGGAGAGGGAGCUGCAGCCGAGACUCGAUGGGGCCGUAAAUGCUUGUCUAGAACUGAAGAGGGUACCCAAAGGAGGCUGCGGAAUCCCAGAAUCUAGAGAAUUCAAAGGAGGGUAGGAGCCCAUCCUUCCUGAGUGGCAAAGUCUAGUUUAAAAAAAAAAUCUAACUGGGCAAAGCAUACCUUCCUGGACAAGAGGCAGCCAGAGCGAGUUGAGAGAAAUCAUGAAACCAGUUUUGUUCUAGUGGCUUAUCGGCUACAACUCUUAUGGCCUCCACUGCCUCAGGCUGGAGAUGCUCAUAGAGGUCUGAGUGCCCAAAGGCUCGUGUGGGCACCAGCUCUGGCCCCUCAGGCUAACCACUGGUCUCACCAUGCAGUCACUUCCUUUAACUCUAAAACAGGAAUAAUCAAACUUGGGUCAUAGUAGGAUAAAAUGAAAGGGCCAUGAAAAGUAGAAAGCCCUCUCCCAUUGUGUGGGAACUCCAGGAAAUGGUGCACCCUUGGGAUAUGGCUGAGAGAGGAGGCCCAGCAAACAGCCAUUAUUAUCACUACUGACACACCUCCACAGUGACCAAGGGGGUGCCAAAGACCUACACACCAGGCACCAUCUCGUGCUUCCUAUGAAUUAACCCAGGCCAACUUCACAAUGCAGGCCAGUCAGUAAGCUCCCUGCAGUCAGAGAUCUGAAGAGCACAUUGUAUGGCUGCUGCCAAAGAGGCAGGAUGGAGGGAGGGUGGAAGGAUGCUUGAAUGGAAGGAUGCAUAGAAGGAAAGAUGGGAGCAAAGAAGGAUGCAUGGAUGGAUGGAAGGAAGGAAGGAAGACAUAGGUUGGAAGGAAGGAAAAUGUCGUAUCCAUAGUCCAACCUCUAGCUUACAUUUUGCUCCUCCUGCCAUUGCAGUGUAAAGAAUCAGUAAGACUUUGUUUCUUUUUUUUAAUUAAACAAAAAUUUGUUGAGCACCUGCUACAUCCCUGGUCCACACUCCUACCCUCAAAGAGCUCACUCCUGAAACGGGACAGUGAGAAUUGUCCAUUAAUUAUUCGAAUACCCAGCAGAAGUGGUGAGGGCCCUACACAAGGGGUAAAAUAGACUGGCCGUCUCCAGGAAGGUGUGAUGUCUGCCUGCUGGGAGCUGACCUUAAAGGAUGGGGAGGAAUUCAUGCUGCAGACGGUCCUCCAUUGAACUGCCCUUCCUCCCUUGUGGGAAUUGCAGAUGGUUCCUCUGGUUUGUGUAGUUUCCUUGGAAGUGGAGGGGGGACCUGUGGAACAUGAAGUAGAAAAUGUAGGUUGGGACCUUAUUAUGAACAGCCCUUAAAUAUCAGCAUAAGAAACAUGGAUAUUUUUUUCUGUUGAACACAGAGUAAUUGUAUCCAUAUUUUGGAAUAGUAUGCUGUGGUUAGCAUAUGUACCAACAUGAAUCAAUUUCCGAGACCUAUCAUUUAAUGAAAAAUGCAAGUUGCAGAAAAAUAUGCCCAGUGUGAUAUCACCAGUGGAAAAAUACUACACAAAACAACUGUGUUUGUGUCCUCUGUGGGUCUGAGAGGGCCCACACCAGACUGCCAGCAGCAGUUACCUUUGGGGCAAAAAGAAAGAAUUUGGUUUUGGGGAUGGGAAGUGUUGAAGGAGGAUGUCAACAUUUUUGGUAAUCUUUCAGUUUUACUUUAACAGGGAAAAUGUUAUCUUGCCAUUAAAAUGUAAUUUUAAAAUUCAAAAGAUAAUGGAGUCAUUGGCUUACUUCCUAGCUCUAAAAUUUUCAAUUAGAGCUUGUGCAUUCUGAGAAUUGGGAAGAUAUUCUCUGAAACCAAACAAAAUCCAGGGAUAAAAAAAAAAACGCCUCCCCUCCAAGCGUGCAGAGAGAAGGAACUCCUCAGGCCACUGUAUCACGGGCCUGAGUGGUGUCAUUUGUUUGGUUUAUCAGUGAUCAAUUUCAGGUGAUGAAGGAUGCUCUUGACCCAUGUUGACCUUGCAGAAUCAUUCAGCUUUCUUGCCCAUGACUGGAUUCUACCCUGCGGCAGUGGCUGGCUCCGGGCAGCAGUGAAUGAAGAAGGAGGCAGGACAUCUCUUUUUGUCUCCAGAACAAAGAUGCAGAGUCUCAGCAGUACCAACAGGAUCACACAGGCCACAGUGUGAAGAAUGAAUCACAGAGAGACAAGUUUGAUGCGUGUCGCAUUGUCCAGGUAACUCCACGAUGACGUCUGUCCUUGGGAUCACCAUCUGCUAAGGCAGACCGAAGAGUGGAACAAUGGAGGACACAAAAGAAGCAGCACCGAGGAGGGGACGGACCCCACCACCAUCAGCCGUCCCAGAGACCUCCCUGGCAUGGUGCGGUGGGGCAGCUGGUGUUGUGAAUCAGGCCGUUGCCAAUCAGAGAACGGCUACUUCACAACACCAGGGUCACACCCAACCACAAGCAGCGCUCCAGGCACCAGCGCAGCCAAGCCUCCAAGCAGCUCAUCACACCUCUGAGCCCUUGAGAACCCCAGCCGGGGGCCUCCACGUUCCUCCCGCGGGCUAUUCUGACUCCACUGCAAACACAGGCACCCUGAGGCUAUUUCUUGCCCAACACAAACAGCUCCACUUUUAAAGGAAAAGCCACUCCUGACAGUGUUAGCGUCCUAAUGGUACUACCAGGCUUUCCACUGUGAAAAUGGAGCUAUGGGCCCUCAGAAGGCUAAGUGCCACUAAACUGAACAUUUCCUCCGAGGCUCUAGGAAUAUUCGGCUGUGAACUGGGCCCCUUGUUUUGAUACGUGGGAGUGGUAGCUUUGAAUAGGGCAAAGUGGAGGGAAGGGAGGCCCUAAUUACAAGAUGGUGGCCCUGGGGGACAUGCCUGGAGAGAGGAAGGCCUUUGUAGCCACAUAGAUGGGAACUCCUCUGUUUCCUAGAGGUCCCAAGUUCCCUGGAGAGUAAAUGCCUCUCUUUGAGUGUGAGAGUUCCAUAGCUCCCCAUCAGGCGUGUGUUCCCCCCCGCUGGAUGAGAGCCAAGCACAAGGAGACACUUCCCUGGGUGUCGAUCUGUCGGAUACUCCUGUCCUGGGUUAUGUGACCUGUCACCUGUGCUGACAGAUGGGCUGCCUUUUCCCAUCCCCUCACAGCCGGGACCUGAAGGAGUUGGAAGACUAACUGGGGGUCUCUAGAGUUUGAGUUUUUGUUUUCAUUUUUUAAAGAUUGGCACCUGAGCUAACAUGUGUUACCAACCUUUUUUUUUUUCCUUCUUCUUCUCCCAAAGCCCCCCCACUUCCAGUACCUAGUUGUAUACACCAGUUGUUGGUCCUUCUAGUUGUGGCAUGUGGGACGCAGCCUCAGCAUACCCUGAUGAGCGGUGCCAUAUCCACACCCAGGAUCCGAACCGGUGAAACCCUGGGCCACUGAAGCAGAGUGUGCGAACUUAACCACUUGGCCAUGGGGCCAGCUCCUCGAGUAUCUUUAUGCCCAACUUAAAUCUUAUGUGUGACACCGCCAUAUUUCACAGCCAAGGAAGGAGUUUAAAGAUGGAGUGGCUGGGUUGGCUAGCAUCCUUUCUAUAGCACUAAGAAAGAAGGGGAGCCAUCUCUCCGGCUUUCCAUGAGACAGAGAGAGACCCAGGGCCACUGUGAUUAACCCAGGCUCUGUCUUUGUCACCUCGGUGCUGUGCUCUGCCCUGUAGGAAGCCAGAGGGAUAGACAAAAACAAGCCUGGUGUAAAGAUUGCACAGAACGAGGUUGCAUAGACAAAGCAGCCCUGGGUCUCUGUCACCUUGGAGCUCUGUGAGGUGAGUCUACUUCUUCUGUGAAGUUCUGCUUCUCACCCCAUCCCCAAAUCACUAAGACCUCUCUGAAAUUUGUUCUAAGUUGUGCUUGGGGACAAGUAUGUUUAGAGAUGAGAGAGUCCUAGUUUGUCAGGAAGGUUUUCCUGCCUCCUUAAAACAUAUAAACUGCAUGUCUGAGAAUUCAUCCACUUGCCACUCCUCUACCACCAACAGAGUCCAAGCUAGUACCACCCACGGUGUGGUCCCUGGUGGCAGCAUCAGCAUGUUGGGAAGAUGGAAUCCUAUGCCCCACUGCACACCUGCUGCAUCAAAAUCUUAGGGGAUGGGACGGGGACCAGGGCUCAGGGACUGUGUGUUUACGGACCACCCGCUUUUUCUUCUCCCCAUAUCCUCUUCAGCUUCCCUUCUGACCCCAUCUCUUCUGCCUAUUCCAGCCAGAAGGAUAUUUUCAAAAUGCGUGCCUACAUCAAGUGACUCCCUCUACCCCCUUCCCUAAAACUCCUUAGAGUCAGCCUCACCCUAACGGUAACGUGACCCCAUGAGUGGCGGUAAUGUGACCCCAUGAGUGGCGAGCACUCGCCAGCUCCCUCUCACUGUACUCCCUUCCUCCCUCUGGCACUCUUACCAAGCUCCCUUUUGCCCUGGGGCCCUUGUGCGGCUCAGCCCUGUCUGGAAUGCUCCCAGCCCCACCAUCCUCCCUGUGAUUGCUACCUACCUGUCCUCUAGGUUUCAGACAGAGCACAGCUUCCUGCCAGCCAACUCCCCUGACCUAGAAAGUCACAUCAGGUAAUGUUAGGUGCACUGAGCAAGCUGAGUUCUGCACCUUCAGAGCGUUCAUCUCAUUUUGCCAUUAUGCAUUCAUUAGUGGGAAUCUGUGCUAAAUGUGUGUCUUCCCCACUGGCCAUAUGCUCCUUGAGGGCACGGACACUCAUUCACUACUGCACCCCAACCUAGCUCAGUGUCUGGCAUAAAAUAGUUCAAUAUGUUUGUCCAAUGACUGGAUGAGCCCCUCCUGAGCAGUGAGUGGCCUUCAGAGUCAAGCUCACUCUCUCUUGCUCAUUGGAGCCCUGGUCUUUGUUUCCUUUCAGUGGCAUCAUAAUGGUCAGCAAGCACUUAGAGAGUAGAAACAGUGUGGCAGGCGCUGCUCUGAGCACUUUGUGUAGCCAUUUGCUUGGUACCUCCAUUUCCUCAUAAUGGGCAGUUCACGUACCCCCCCGUCGGGUAAGUACCAAGACCACACCGUCCAUACUGUUCGUCAUUGGUGGCACCACUAUUCAAACCCAGGCAGUCAGGCCCCAGAGUGUGUGCCCUGAGCCACUGCUCCAUGCUGCUGAGGAGCCAGAGGAAAGGGACAAAGCUGAAGAUGGAAGUCCCCAAGGCUUUCUCCAAAGGACUGAGCAAAACCCUCUCCCCAAGGCUUUCUCCAAAGGACUGAGCAAAACCCUCUCCAUUCUCAGAGGCUUCCACUCUGAUUUCUUAAACCGGGUAGACCAGGCAGCAUUCUCCCUGUUUGUGCCUUUCUGAAAGGUUAGAUUCUAACCCUGUUUAAAGCACUUCAUAAUGGAACCUGAUUAAAAACCUAAUAAAAUUAAAAAUGGGGUCAAGUCCAGAGAGAGAAUGAGGAGAGAACAGUUUAAGAACUGGAGGAAGCUCUUCUUAAUUUUGCUGUUACGCUGGUGAAUUCAUUUGCUGUUUGCACAGUUACCUUCAGAGGUCUGGGGCUGCAAAGGCAAGUGUGUACCCCCUCAGAACUGAGUGCUUCCCAGAGCCAGCCUAGGAGAGCACAACCCUGGGCCUUCCCAGUUCUUAGCCCCAGCCCCAUGCCUGGUCCACCCACCUCUGCCCACAGUGUGGCUUCUUUUCCAAAAUGCAUCCUGCCUCACCAAGAACAGCCUGCCCUCCCCCAGAACAUUCCAGACCCUCCACUUAGGUAGACUUGAUGCCACCUGGCCAGAAAGAGACUAAAGUGUCCAUCCCACCCCCCUUUUCUGAAAUCCUGACUUAGCGAUCUAUACCAUCUCAAGCUCUAUGUUCAGAAUCUUUAUCACCACGUUGGGGUCCUACAUUUGCAGCUAGCCACCUUCCAAAUUAGGAGAUCCUCUCAAGAGGCUCCAUCGCAGACAGCCAAAGGCCUUGGUGCUGCAGGGAGCUCGUCAGACACACACUUUUACAUCCACCAGCUUGUCCUCUCAACCUGGUCACCACCUGCUGACCCCGGUCAGCACUUCCGGGAAAAGCUGGGUUUAGAAAGGAAGUUUCCUGAGUAAAUGUUUAAUAUCAAAUAGAGCAGUCCUUCUCAUAGUGGGGUCCCUGGACCAGCAGCAUCAGCACCACCUGGGAACUUGUUAGACGUGCAAAUCCUCCAGGUCACCCCCACCCCAGCCCUGCUGAAUCAGAAACUCGGGGGCGAAGAUCAGGAGUCUGUGUGCUAACGCGUCCUCCAGGGGAUUCUCAAGUGCCUCCAGUUUGAGAACCACUAAAACAAGGUAAAAGUUGGGGGCGGGGGCAGUUUGAUGACAAAAUCAUCUUCAGCACUAAAUGAUAAAGGGCAUGGCAGCGGAGUGCCUAUGCCUGCCAUCAGCAGCAGCGUGAAAAGUUUAGGGCAUUUACUGAAUGUUGAAUAAUAAUUUUUUUAACUCACUUUUCUGAAUUUUAAAAGUAAAUCCCCAGGUGUUCUGAGCUGUGGACACCUGACCCUUCCCUUUUUCACCUGAAUAAACAUGCCCAGAACAUCCUUUUAUCCCUCACAACAGGGACAUUGGAAGAUAAAAGUUAUUUUCCACCAAUUUAAAGGCUUAGAUCUUGAUUCCCUAUUGAUUAAAUUCUUAACACAGUACAUGGCACAUUUUAACAGCUUCACAUUUCUUUGAGCUCACAACCCCAUUUAAGAACUAGGGCAAAGAGAAGUAACCUGCCCCAGGAGUGAGAGGUAUCUAUGCGCUGGAGCAGAAGUUGAGUCCCAUGUGUCCCCAGACCCAGGCUAGGAGCUGCUUUUGAUUGGCUAGCUCCAAAGGAACCAUUGGGGACCAGGAAAAUCAGCUGUGCCAGCUCAGAGCACCCUAUGAGCAAUUAAAAGCCCUUUGUGCUUGGCGGCUAACUGGGGGAAACUCCGACGCUAAAAUGUGAUGCCAUAAAGAUGAAACACACUGGGCAAUCAUUUCUUUUGAACUUGAAGAAUUUUGUUAUUCUGUUACAUUGAGGUGGGUUUGUUUUUUGAUGGUAGAGAGAAGAGUAGAUUUUCCAUGAAUGGUCUUUCAUAUAUUCUUUAUUCUUUGUGAAAGCCAUAGCCAAGGACAUUUUCAGCCCUACGUGUCUGUGUCGUGGUAGGUACUGGUCCCAGGGAAGUGGCUCCACUUUUUAAAGACAAUAUGGUAAUUUGAGGGUUUCUAUUCAUUGUGCUGCAAGGCAAGAGUUCCUGAAAACUACCUCUUUCCUACUGUAGUGAGACUUGGGAAUGCUGUGCACCCACACUUUGCUGAAAUUUCAAGAAGAGUUCCUGGGCCUCCCAGACAGAGUUGAAGCAGAAGGUUUUCACCAUAGUGUUGAUUUUUGAUAGAUUUUUAAAGGGGAAGGAGCAACAAAAAUCUGUUCCACCAUUCCCUCUGUCCCUUAAAAAGACACGUAAAGGGGCUGGCCCCGUGGCCGAGUGGUUAAGUUCGAGUGCUCCGCUUCGGUGGCCCAGGGUUUCGCCGGUUCGAAACCUGGGCGCGGACAUGUCACCGCUCAUCAGGCCAUGCUGAGACAGCGUCCCACAUGCCACAACUAGAAGGACCCACAACUAAAAAUACACAACUAUUUAUCAGGGGGCUUUGGGGAGGAAAAGGAAAAAUAAAAAGACGCAUAAAGAACCUCAUACAGACCAAAGAGUUUGAAAUUGCUAUUUUAAAAGGCAUAGCAGAAAAGAGAGUUUUGGUAGAAAAAUGGAUCAAAAUAAAUAAGCAGUGAAAUCUAAUUCUGACAUAGCUUCCAGCUGUCUGGCAUACUGGUUGAGUUUUGAAGACCUGGGCCACUGUUCCUCUUUGCUGGGGGUGACACACGGGCCAGAAGCAGGGAGACCUAAGGCUGAGGCCCAAAGGAAGGUGAAAGGUGGCCUCAGGUCUUGGAAGCUCUGCCGUCUUGGCAGAGCAGAUUGGGGCACAGCGGAGCCCAGGGCGGGGUGCUGGCCGGCUGUCCACCAGUCACAGUCUCAGGUGAAUGGAAUGAAGAGGGGGCCACUGGGAAACGCAGGAGCUGCUGCCACAACUGUGCGGGAUACCUGCGGCCUGCUCUGGGCCUCCUCUCCCUGGCCUUGUCCCCUUGCAACUCUGUUUUACAGUUGACGAAGCAGAGGUUCAGGAAGAGCCUGGUCCUCUCUUUCCAGAGCCUCAGGUCUUUAUGCUCCAGAACGAAGACAGUGACCUCACUACCCUGCUGGUAUUUGUGUACCAGGCACUGGGCGUGUUUCUUCUCAUUUAACCACAGAGCAGCCCUGGGAAAGGAAGCACUGUUAUCAUUCCCAUUUUUCAGGUGAGGAACAGGUUCAGAAAGGUCAAGAAACUUGCUUCAGGUCUCAAGCUGGCAAGUGGACUCUCUGGCUCCAGAGAGGUC